Molecule: long non-coding RNA, 1720 nt
Organism: Bufo gargarizans (Asiatic toad)
Lineage: Eukaryota; Metazoa; Chordata; Amphibia; Anura; Bufonidae
Exons: 5
Source: RefSeq, a predicted model, not a curated record
GCUCUCUCCUGUUCUCUGCGCUGCCGGUGUGUGGAGAUGGCGGCGGUCGAGCUCGGUGGAAGAGCUGCGCGAUAUCGGCGCCAUCCUGCAGUAGGUCUGCCGAGGUUGCUCCCCGGCGGCCGUCCUCCUGGGAUGGUAAGUGUGCGGCUCGUCUCGCCUUCAUUAAUCCAUCUGAUCUUGUGUGGUCUCCUCCAUGAUGACUUUCUCACCACUGACUCAUCUUGUGAUGUCAUCACCGCAGCGUUCUGAUGGACCAUCCCACCCUCCGAAGGCCGGCUGACCGCCUUUCACCUGAGGCUAAUCUAUUCUCUUCUUCCAGUAGCUGCGCAGGAUGGCGCUGUGAUGUAUCCAAGCUCCAGGUUCAUCCUGACUAACCCAGAGCUACAGAGAUAGAGGUAUGGGGCCUGCUAUACCUCUGCGCUGGUCACCAGCUUGCUAACGCUUGGCGGCACCUUGCCCUGAGUCUGGAAUGGAGUGGAUAAUGUCACUGAAUUGCCUGAUGCUUGCACCGGUUCAGUGUGGUCCCCAGGACUGCAGAGGCCGAGCGAGUCUCCGUACUGGAUGUGCGGUCUGCCAUCAGUGAAGCCCAGGAGCCUAGAUGCACUGCAUGGAGAAUUACAGAGGACCUGUUACCACAAAAUGUGAUCUGAAGGCACCUGGUUAGAGCAGGAGGAGCGGACUGAUAUGUAUUGUGGAAAGAUGCAGUAAAACCUGUCAUUUCUAUCUGCAGCCCUGUGAAUACCCCUCCAGUACAGGGGAGGUGGUGUGAUCAGUGCCUGACGGAUAUCUGCACACUAAUGGCUGUAUGAGACCAGGUCGUCCCUAAUGAGUGUUUGUAGGAAUGCUCGUUAGCAUUUAUCAGGCUGUGUAAGGGCACCUUCACAUGUGACAUUUUGCGGCAGAAAAUUCCACUACUGAAAAGCGGUUCUGUUCGCCUUAACCACCUCCCGACCACCUAACGCGGGGAUGCAUCCUGCGGGGGGCCGGGUUAUUCCUCCUGGACGCAUAUACACGAGAUGGCGUGCAUAUGUGGCCCGCACAUGCGCAGUGUGGGUUGGCAAAAGGUGCACAAGGAGUUGGUCACCAGCCUGCAAGCCAAUGAUCAGCGCUGGCAGGUUCACUUUUAAAAUAACAAACCACCAGCCAUAUAACACAUUUAUAAAUAUAAUAUGUUAAAUGGCUUCUGUGCUCUCUGCUGGGUCCUUUUCAUCGGUUGGUCCCAGCAGAGGGCACAGAUCACGGAGUACACCAAGCACUACAUAUUUAGCCUCUGAUCUCCCCUGUCAAUCACUAGUGAAAGAGGGGAAAAAGUGAUCAGUGUAAAUUGGCACUUUUUUUUCCACCAGUAUUGACUGUUAGGUUUAGGAUAGUUUAGGCCCCUUUCGUAGGUAGUUGGUUUCAGUUAGCGCCCAGUCCACCGCAGUCGCUGAUUAGCGUAUCGCUAAUCAGCAUUGGUACUUUAUAGUAUCUGAGUGAUCAGUCAGAUCUAUAAUAGUAUUAGUGUCACCUUAGCUCGCCCUCUGCCCAAAACGCAUUGUUUGCCCAAUCAGGCCUGAUCGCCCACACGUGUGUUCACCCAUGCCCGCCCUGCCGCAUUGACAACAUUUUUUUUCUCACUUUACACGCACUGCGGUGAUAAAAAAAAUCAGUUUAGAUAUUUUUAUCAACUGCAGCGGCCUCCGGUACUUCACUAGCCUCCCAUUUGGAAGACAGGCUUGCU